GGAUGUGAGGGCAAUCUGGCUGUGACAUCUGUCACCCCAUUGAUUGCCAGGUUGAUUUGGCUGAUCUGGCUUGCUUGCCGGUGUCCCCUUCCUUCUUCACUGUUCCAUGUGAAUCCUUCCUGAAGAUGCAUGCUCAGUCAAAGAGGAUGACUUUCCCCAAUAGAGGAGAGGACAGUUCUUUGGUCAAGGGUGUACCAGUAGCUGCAUUUCCCCGCUAGAGCCUCCAAACAAGCUCUCAAGGUCCAUUUGUAGGAGAGUAUAGGGUAGUUAAGCUUCCAAGACUCCAGAAACAUCCCAAUGAGGCACUGCAUGUGACAGUCUGCCUUUCUAA
This is an unclassified non-coding RNA of Mustela putorius furo (domestic ferret), 331 nucleotides long. Its record names the gene 7SK. It matches the Rfam family "7SK RNA". Rfam says of the family: 7SK was discovered as an abundant small nuclear RNA in the mid-70s but a possible function has only recently been suggested. The record is from Ensembl. Lineage: Eukaryota; Metazoa; Chordata; Mammalia; Carnivora; Mustelidae.